CACAGCAAAAAAAUUUCAGAUCUCACUACAUGAAUCUACCUCCUAGAAAAAUACUGAGCCACGCUAUUCCUAUAGCCGAACUAAUGCUAAAACUAGUAACAAGAAACCUUCUCCAAGCACACCUAUGACCCAGAAAUAGAAGAUCUGCUGGACGUUAACAGACCAAAACAGGAACUACACCCACUGUUCAACAAACUGUCGAACCGACACAGGAGUGCUAAAAAGACAGAUUAAAAGCCGCAAAAGGAACUCAGCAAAAUCUGCCCCAACUGUUUACCAAAAACAUAGCCUUUAGCCAAACAAGUAUUAAAGGUCCCGCCUGCCCAGUGAAGCAUUUCAACGGCCGCGGUAUUCUAACCGUGCAAAGGUAGCGUAAUCACU
RNAcentral lists this ribosomal RNA (381 nucleotides) under Dasia vittata (striped tree skink). Its description in RNAcentral is "partial 16S rRNA". The stretch from base 267 to 381 matches the Rfam family "Bacterial large subunit ribosomal RNA", at positions 1797 to 1969 of the family's 2925-position model. The record is from RNAcentral. Lineage: Eukaryota; Metazoa; Chordata; Lepidosauria; Squamata; Scincidae.